Molecule: non-coding RNA, 196 nt
Filed under: Firmicutes bacterium CAG:94
Lineage: Bacteria; Bacillati; Bacillota
Also listed under: 1 other name
Source: RNAcentral
AGGCCCGUUGGGACUCCGGGUGCCCGCGGGCCUUUUCCCGCGGCCGAACAUAGGAACAGGGGUGCGAAUCCCCGGCGAACCCGUCGCCGUAAUGGCAGAGGGGCGCCCCAGUGUGCCACUGGCCCUUUGGGCUGGGAAGGCGGGGCUCCCUGUUUGAUGCCUAAGCCGGAAGACUUGCCCGGAAAGGCCGUACCAA